GACGAACGCUGGCGGCGUGCUUAACACAUGCAAGUCGAACGCUGAAGCUUGGUGCUUGCACUGGGUGGAUGAGUGGCGAACGGGUGAGUAAUACGUGAGUAACCUGCCCUUGACUCUGGGAUAAGCCUGGGAAACUGGGUCUAAUACUGGAUAUGACAUGCCACUGCAUGGUGGUGUGUGGAAAGGGUUUUACUGGUUUUGGAUGGGCUCACGGCCUAUCAGCUUGUUGGUGAGGUAAUGGCUCACCAAGGCGACGACGGGUAGCCGGCCUGAGAGGGCGACCGGCCACACUGGGACUGAGACACGGCCCAGACUCCUACGGGAGGCAGCAGUGGGGAAUAUUGCACAAUGGGCGAAAGCCUGAUGCAGCGACGCCGCGUGAGGGAUGACGGCCUUCGGGUUGUAAACCUCUUUCAGCAGGGAAGAAGCGAAAGUGACGGUACCUGCAGAAGAAGCACCGGCUAACUACGUG
RNAcentral lists this ribosomal RNA (472 nucleotides) under uncultured bacterium. Its description in RNAcentral is "partial 16S ribosomal RNA". It matches the Rfam family "Bacterial small subunit ribosomal RNA", at positions 28 to 507 of the family's 1533-position model. The record is from RNAcentral.